GCUCCAUAAGAGAGGAAGGGACUCCCACGGACCCACAUCCCCUCCCUGGUACAUAAACUGACCGUCGGGGAGAUAUAAAUACAGGCGGAGGAGAUUUUGCCUCACACCCUUCAGUGUUCCUCCAAGAAAAGGAAUGCACCAUGGAUAAGCGAAUAUUAAUCCUGGUUCUUUUAGUGUCUUCGCUGUGCAUAAUGGCUGAUGCUCAUGAGAAGAGGAGUC
Penaeus monodon (black tiger shrimp) is the source of this 219-nucleotide long non-coding RNA. RefSeq lists it as uncharacterized. The transcript is spliced from 3 exons. The record is from RefSeq and is a predicted model, not a curated record. NCBI's taxonomy places the organism in Eukaryota, Metazoa, Arthropoda, Malacostraca, Decapoda, Penaeidae.